This is a long non-coding RNA of Felis catus (domestic cat), 1921 nucleotides long. RefSeq lists it as uncharacterized. The transcript is spliced from 3 exons. NCBI's taxonomy places the organism in Eukaryota, Metazoa, Chordata, Mammalia, Carnivora, Felidae. The record is from RefSeq and is a predicted model, not a curated record.
GGCCGGGGCGGCGGGCGGGGGCUCUCUCUCCCUUGGCCUGAAGCGAGCUGGCCCCGCCGGGGAAACUGAGGCCCGGGUGGCGUUGGCCCGGGUCGCUGCGGAGGGCCCGGAGGCGGGGCCCACCCCCGGGGAAGCAGCGGGACCGAUGAUCCCAGAUGCGCGGCGGGGAGGCCGCUCGGUCCCCGACGGGGAAACUGAGGCCCGCAGAGGCCGCGUGACCUGCGCUCGGCGCCCCGCCCCGGAGGAGGGAGGUGGGGGGAAUCGGACCCCGGGAGGUGUCUCCGGGGGCCGUUCCCGGAGCGCGUGGUCGGCGCUGCGGGCGCCUGGCUGCGGGCCGCCCCGCCGAGCGCUCCCGCCUGCUUUCCCGAUGUCGAGACGGGACGGCUGUGUACCUGGCCCGGGCCUGACAGCCCCGGGCAGACUUUCGUGACCUGAGCCUGCGCUUUUGUGCUUCCCCGGAGUGGGGGUUGGGGGGCGGGUUUAGGCCCGCCUGUGGCCAGGUGUUGCCUUCUCCUUUAGGCCAGCGUUUCCCAAACCGUGUGGUGCGGCAGGGGACUGCUUGUUCAACGUACAGUGUUUCAGGCUCCUCGCCCCGGAGGUUCCUAGUUAGCAGGUCUAGGAUGGGGCCCGUGUUCCCCUGCUCCAGGCCCACAGGGAAAGCGGGGGUCUGGUUCGACCCUUUCCUAUUUUACAGGUGGGAAAAAUGAAGCCAGGGGAAGCGCAGGCCAGCUGUGGCCCUGACAUCCUGACAGUUGCCCCUGGGCCAGCUCCCACGGAGCAGGAAGAGGGAGGUGUGGGAUGGUGGAGGCCCUGCAGGUGGUGAGGAUUUAUUGAGCACUUUCUAGGUGCUCCUAGUACUUUAUCUCUGGCCCGCAUGCUCCCCACAGUCGCCUGGGUGGUGGGUGGUGGGUGGAGGCUGUUCUCGUCUCAAAGCCAGACUCAGUCCUGCCUUUGCCAGCAGUGGGGACCCCUGGGAGGAGGGGGCCAGGGGAAGGAGUCUAUGGGCAUCAUCCCAGCCACAGAGGAAGGAAGUGGGCUCAAGUCAGGUUGGGAGCAGAGAGCAAUGCCUGGGCCCAGAAGGCGAGAAAAGGUAGGGAGGUGCGGCUUCCAGAAGCGAGGGAGGAGGGAGAAAUAAAACGAAACCUCAGCUGUGAGCACCCGCUGGGGGAGCCGACACUUGCCUCACUCUAGCCUCCCGGAAGUCCUGCUUCUGCCUUUUCUGGCUUUCUGCAGCCCCAGCUCCGUUCUCGACCGUGACCACGGCAGGAGGCGGCUGGGGGCCUGACAGCUCACCGGCCUGAGUUAGUUGCCUGCAGCCCCUUGCGGCUGGUAUGAGCCCAGGACAGGCCCUGGGACCCAGGCUUUCCCCAGAGCAGCCUGCCCGGAGCCGAGGGGGACCUGGGGCUGGGCGGUCUGCAUAGCCAGCUGUUCUGGGCCUCUCUUCCUGGGGCCAGCACAGGGCCUGGGGCCUGGCCAGGUGUGCCCGCUUCCUGGCCGUGUGGCCUUGGACCCGGAGCACCCUGAUCUCUUGCAGCUGUCACCGGGCUGGGGAGGACCUGCCUCAGCACAAGAAUCCGGUGGUGACAAGGUGGGGAGACCGAGGCUUGCAGCCAGGAUGUGACGUUUGAGCAGAGACCCGACUUCCAAGAGGGGGCAAGCCAGGGCAGGUGUGGUGGCGGCGGGCUCCACCAGGGCCCAGAGAGAGCCUGGACCUUGCCGCCGGCCCCGAGCCGAGGGGAGCCCCGAGCAGACGCCUGCUGUCGUCUGUGACAUGGCCACGCUAAGGGCUUGAUUGCCAGCGUCCUAACCGAGGCCGUCGCAGCCACCUGCAGCCACACUGGCCCGUGUCCGCGGCCCUCUCUCCCCUGGGGGCUGCACCAGGCCGUGAGAGCCCUGGCCCGUCCACAGAGCUUCACGCGGC